UAAAAGUAGCAAUACGUUGGUGGCGACCGGCGCACGGGUGAGUAACGCGUAUGCAACCUACCUAUCAGAGGGGAAUAACCCGGCGAAAGUCGGACUAAUACCGCAUAAAACAGGGGCACCGCAUGGUGAUAUUUGUUAAAGAAAUUCGCUGAUAGAUGGGCAUGCGUUCCAUUAGGUAGUUGGUGAGGUAACGGCUCACCAAGCCGACGAUGGAUAGGGGAACUGAGAGGUUGGUCCCCCACACUGGUACUGAGACACGGACCAGACUCCUACGGGAGGCAGCAGUGAGGAAUAUUGGUCAAUGGGCGGGAGCCUGAACCAGCCAAGUCGCGUGAAAGGAAGAAGGAUCUAUGGUUCGUAAACUUCUUUUGCAGGGGAAUAAAGUGCAGGACGUGUCCUGUUUUGCAUGUACCCUGAGAAUAAGGAUCGGCUAACUCCGUGCCAGCAGCCGC
Molecule: ribosomal RNA, 452 nt
Filed under: uncultured bacterium
Lineage: Bacteria
Description: bacterial SSU rRNA
Rfam family: Bacterial small subunit ribosomal RNA
Source: RNAcentral